Molecule: ribosomal RNA, 274 nt
Filed under: uncultured bacterium
Lineage: Bacteria
Description: partial 16S ribosomal RNA
Rfam family: Bacterial small subunit ribosomal RNA
Source: RNAcentral
AUACGGAGGGUGCAAGCGUUGUCCGGAUUUAUUGGGUUUAAAGGGUGCGUAGGCGGCCCGUUAAGUCAGUGGUGAAAGGUAUCAGCUUAACUGAUGAAGUGCCAUUGAAACUGAAGGGCUUGAGUACAGACGAGGUAGGCGGAACUUAUGGUGUAGCGGUGAAAUGCAUAGAUACCAUAAAGAACACCGAUAGCGAAGGCAGCUUACUAGACUGAGACUGACGCUGAGGCACGAAAGCGUGGGGAGCAAACAGGAUUAGAAACCCCGGUAGUCC